AAGGCCAAUCAAACCGGGAGAUAGCUGGUUCUCCCCGAAAGCUAUUUAGGUAGCGCCUCGUGAACUCAUCUUCGGGGGUAGAGCACUGUUUCGGCUAGGGGGUCAUCCCGACUUACCAACCCGAUGCAAACUACGAAUACCGAAGAAUGUUAUCACGGGAGACACACGGCGGGUGCUAACGUCCGUCGUGAAGAGGGAAACAACCCAGACCGCCAGCUAAGGUCCCAAAGUCAUGGUUAAGUGGGAAACGAUGUGGGAAGGCACAGACAGCCAGGAUGUUGGCUUAGAAGCAGCCAUCAUUUAAAGAAAGCGUAAUAGCUCACUGGUCGAG
This 331-nucleotide ribosomal RNA is filed under the name Pseudomonas aeruginosa. RNAcentral describes it as "partial 23S ribosomal RNA". It matches the Rfam family "Bacterial large subunit ribosomal RNA", at positions 825 to 1153 of the family's 2925-position model. The record is from RNAcentral. Lineage: Bacteria; Pseudomonadati; Pseudomonadota; Gammaproteobacteria; Pseudomonadales; Pseudomonadaceae.